ACGAGUGGCGGACGGGUGAGUAACACGUGGGUAACCUGCCCUUAAGUGGGGGAUAACAUUUGGAAACAGAUGCUAAUACCGCAUAAAUCCAAGAACCGCAUGGUUCUUGGCUGAAAGAUGGCGUAAGCUAUCGCUUUUGGAUGGACCCGCGGCGUAUUAGCUAGUUGGUGAGGUAACGGCUCACCAAGGCAAUGAUACGUAGCCGAACUGAGAGGUUGAUCGGCCACAUUGGGACUGAGACACGGCCCAAACUCCUACGGGAGGCAGCAGUAGGGAAUCUUCCACAAUGGACGCAAGUCUGAUGGAGCAACGCCGCGUGAGUGAAGAAGGCUUUCGGGUCGUAAAACUCUGUUGUUGGAGAAGAAUGGUCGGCAGAGUAACUGUUGUCGGCGUGACGGUAUCCAACCAGAAAGCCACGGCUAACUACGUGCCAGCAGCCGCGGUAAUACGUAGGUGGCAAGCGUUAUCCGGAUUUAUUGGGCGUAAAGCGAGCGCAGGCGGUUUUUUAAGUCUGAUGUGAAAGCCCUCGGCUUAACCGAGGAAGUGCAUCGGAAACUGGGAAACUUGAGUGCAGAAGAGGACAGUGGAACUCCAUGUGUAGCGGUGAAAUGCGUAGAUAUAUGGAAGAACACCAGUGGCGAAGGCGGCUGUCUGGUCUGUAACUGACGCUGAGGCUCGAAAGCAUGGGUAGCGAACAGGAUUAGAUACCCUGGUAGUCCAUGCCGUAAACGAUGAAUGCUAGGUGUUGGAGGGUUUCCGCCCUUCAGUGCCGCAGCUAACGCAUUAAGCAUUCCGCCUGGGGAGUACGACCGCAAGGUUGAAACUCAAAGGAAUUGACGGGGGCCCGCACAAGCGGUGGAGCAUGUGGUUUAAUUCGAAGCAACGCGAAGAACCUUACCAGGUCUUGACAUCUUUUGAUCACCUGAGAGAUCAGGUUCCCCUUCGGGGGCAAAAUGACAGGUGGUGCAUGGUUGUCGUCAGCUCGUGUCGUGAGAUGUUGGGUUAAGUCCCGCAACGAGCGCAACCCUUAUGACUAGUUGCCAGCAUUUAGUUGGGCACUCUAGUAAGACUGCCGGUGACAAACCGGAGGAAGGUGGGGAUGACGUCAAAUCAUCAUGCCCCUUAUGACCUGGGCUACACACGUGCUACAAUGGAUGGUACAACGAGUUGCGAGACCGCGAGGUCAAGCUAAUCUCUUAAAGCCAUUCUCAGUUCGGACUGUAGGCUGCAACUCGCCUACACGAAGUCGGAAUCGCUAGUAAUCGCGGAUCAGCACGCCGCGGUGAAUACGUUCCCGGGCCUUGUACACACCGCCCGUCACACCAUGAGAGUUUGUAACACCCGAAGCCGG
RNAcentral lists this ribosomal RNA (1351 nucleotides) under Lacticaseibacillus rhamnosus. Its description in RNAcentral is "bacterial SSU rRNA". It matches the Rfam family "Bacterial small subunit ribosomal RNA", at positions 91 to 1430 of the family's 1533-position model. The record is from RNAcentral. Lineage: Bacteria; Bacillati; Bacillota; Bacilli; Lactobacillales; Lactobacillaceae.